Molecule: long non-coding RNA, 1249 nt
Filed under: Homo sapiens (human)
Lineage: Eukaryota; Metazoa; Chordata; Mammalia; Primates; Hominidae
Description: HSALNT0288642
Source: RNAcentral
UUUUAUAACUCUUCACAAGAUUUUCUAAAAAGCACAUUGAAAUCUUAAGAAAACCUUGUUGUGCUUUUAUUUCUGUAGGAGUUAAAGAGGAAAGAAACAAGAAAUGCGGCUGGCAGGUAAAGACAGGUUUUCUUUAGAGGAAACCUGAGAGGUGCUUCUGGCCAAUUUCAGUCAGGAGUACUUUCUCUUAAAAGCUGAGUAUAUAUCACUUUUAGGUUGAGGGGGCUUAUCACAAGCUUGGAAUGUUUAUGUGUGUGGAGAAGUUUAUAGCGGAGUUGGAAUCUCUCUGGCAGGAGAUAACUUUAUCUGAAUGGGAGUGUAUCUGAAUGAGAGUGGACUGAGGAGAAGCUACUUGCUGGAUUGGUAUAGCUGCCUACAAUCUAAACUAGAACAGGAUUCUAAACUGAGGAAAAUUUACCAUCACCUCAAAAGAAUUUCAGAGCAAGAGAUAAUGAGUCUUAGCUCAUUUACACCAGAUGCCUGCAAGAGUAAAGUUGUGUGUUUCCCAACAUCACUCUUGCUUUAGAACCUGACAAGAUUGAAAGGAAGCCUGAAACCUGAAUGAACUCAUCCUAGGAGACAUUACUACAAUAUGAUGGAUCGAACUAAUUAUCAAUGGUGAAAUGUGACUGUAGUCAUGUGGCCAUAUCUUUUGAGUUGUAUGUUCAUUUCAUGUAAGGGAUCCAAGUUUUAACAUGGUGGGUGUAUUAGUUCAUUUUUAUGCUGCCAAUAAAGAGAUACCCGAGACUGGGUAAUUUACGAAAUAAAGAGGUUAAAUGCAUUUACAGUUACACAUGGCUGGGGAGGCCUCAAAAUCACAGCAGAAGGCAAGGAGGAGCAAGUCACAUCUUAUGUGAAUGGUGGCAGGCAAAAAAGAGAGCUUGUGUAGGGAAACUCCCCCUUAUCCAACCAUUAGAUCUCAUGAGACUUAUUCACUAUCAUGAGAACGGCAUGAGAAACACCUUCCCACAUGGUUCAGUAACCUCCCACCAGGUACCUUUCACACAUGGGAAUUUGAGAUGAGAUUUGGUUGGGGACAUCACCAAACCAUAUCAGAAGUGUUGAAGUGGGUGGUGGGAUGGUGGAAAGGUGUGAAAUAUAUAUUGUGAAAUAUAUAUCAUGAAAUAUAUAUUUGAUCUUCCCCUCUAUUUCCUGGCAUAUGAUACCUUAAUCCUUGGGAUUUCCAAUGUGCUGCAAAGUGCUUUCUUUUUUUAUGUCAGCUAAUGAACACUGAUAGCUUUAGAAUUGG